UUUGAGUAACAUGAAUAGUUUGGAAAGGAGAUCCCACCUUUCUUUCUGCGUACCCCACUUCCACGACGUGUUUUUUGUUUUCAGUCUAUCUUGAGAAGAAAGAGAAAUCGAAAUACACUCAAAAUACACGCAGCAUGAAGUCGCGCUACUUUCUUGUAAGUUCAUUUCCAUCUUACGCAGAUGGCCCUCGGAAAUAUCCCAGCAUCCCCCUCGUCCGCUUCAUUCACCACUAAAGCUUUUCAGAAGCAGGUGGGCAAGGGCAGGCGGUUCAGACAUAUUAAGAAUAUUGAUUCUCUUCCUUCUCCUGCGUUACAAUAUGCUGGGUGAAUAACAAAAGCCGCCUCUUUCCCAGGCGAACCCCUCUCAAGGACAGAAUGCCAAGCUCCCGAAAGAGAGUGAUGCAGAAUCUCGCAUGGCAUGGCAGAGCCUGGCAAGCUACCCACGGCGUAUUUGAUACGCCAAAAACUGUAACUAUAAUGGGCCUCAUUCCCCUGACCCUGAACGAAACAGGGAUGAAUGGAGACAUUACUGGCGCCCGCUUGAGCAAAUUGGGGCAGCCAAGUGUCCUGCUUGCGGCCCAGAGGAGAUAAACAGAUGUGAUGCAGAAGACAGUUCAACUGCUGGCCUAGAGAUUGAGUGGGCCCAGUCCCCAGCUUCUCGAGCGAGAGUUCAAAAUCUCCUUUACACGGUCCUCCUCCACAUUCUUUUCUUUCUAAGAAAGAUGUAAGAUGUCCGGAGAUGGCCCCAAGGAGAAUGAGUCACACAUUGGAAACGACUCAAUAAGGAAGAACCUUGAAACAAUAAAUCACCCCUUGGAGAACACAUUCCCCAAAACUGUUUUGUGAGCAAAAUUACUUUAUUGUGUACACUGACCUCGGUACUCCUUGGUGCUGAGAACUGAUUCUCAUCUCUUUCUUCUUUGGGUUAGCAAGUCCAAA
This is a long non-coding RNA of Sorex araneus (European shrew), 938 nucleotides long. RefSeq lists it as uncharacterized. NCBI's taxonomy places the organism in Eukaryota, Metazoa, Chordata, Mammalia, Eulipotyphla, Soricidae. The record is from RefSeq and is a predicted model, not a curated record. The transcript is spliced from 3 exons.